GAUGAAGAACGUAGCGAAAUGCGAUAAGUAAUGUGAAUUGCAGAAUUCAGUGAAUCAUCGAAUCUUUGAACGCACAUUGCGCCCCCUGGUAUUCCGGGGAGCAUGCCUGUUCGAGCGUCAUUACAACCCUCAAGCUCUGCUUGGUAUUGGGCCCCGCCAGUUCUGGCGGGCCCUAAAGUCAGUGGCGGUGCCUUCCGGCUCCGAGCGUAGUAAUUCUUCUCGCUCUGGAGACCCGGUUGUGUGCUUGCCAACAACCCCCAAUUUUUUAAGGUUGACCUCGGAUCAGGUAGGGAUACCCGCUGAACUUAAGCAUAUAAUAAGCGGAGGA
This 328-nucleotide unclassified non-coding RNA is filed under the name soil metagenome. RNAcentral's name for it is "partial contains 5.8S ribosomal RNA, internal transcribed spacer 2, and large subunit ribosomal RNA". The stretch from base 1 to 120 matches the Rfam family "5.8S ribosomal RNA", at positions 35 to 154 of the family's 154-position model. The record is from RNAcentral.